RNAcentral lists this ribosomal RNA (450 nucleotides) under uncultured bacterium. Its description in RNAcentral is "partial 16S ribosomal RNA". It matches the Rfam family "Bacterial small subunit ribosomal RNA", at positions 338 to 794 of the family's 1533-position model. The record is from RNAcentral.
CCUACGGGAGGCAGCAGUGAGGAAUUUUGCGCAAUGGGCGAAAGCCUGACGCAGCGACGCCGCGUGGAGGAUGAAGGCCUUCGGGUUGUAAACUCCUGUUAGAGGGAAGAAGCCCCGCAAGGGGUUGACGGUACCCUCAGAGGAAGCCCCGGCUAACUACGUGCCAGCAGCCGCGGUAAUACGUAGGGGGCAAGCGUUACUCGGAAUUACUGGGCGUAAAGGGUGUGUAGGCGGCCGAGCAAGUCGAAGAUAAAAUCCCAGGGCUCAGCCCUGGAAUUGUCUUCGAUACUGCUGGGCUUGAGGGUAGUGGAGGAGAGCGAAAUUCCCGGUGGGGGGGUGAAAUGCGUAGAUAUCGGGAGGAACACCAGGGGCGAAGGCGGCUCUCUAUGCUGCUCCUGACGCUGAGGCACGAAAGCUAGGGGAGCAACCGGGAUUAGAUACCCUUGUAGU